Molecule: long non-coding RNA, 740 nt
Filed under: Homo sapiens (human)
Lineage: Eukaryota; Metazoa; Chordata; Mammalia; Primates; Hominidae
Description: non-protein coding lnc-PRR15-4:1
Source: RNAcentral
UGAGGGGCUGUACAUGGAGCUGUGUGCAAGGUGGGGGCUGCACGUGCGGGCUUGGGGACUGCGUGCACCAGGGGCUGCAGGCGCUGGGGAGGGUGUGGGGGGCUGUGCGUGGGGCUGCCCUCACCAAAGGCUGCACGCUCAGGGAAGCGUGGAGGCGGGGGUGCCGCGUGCACUGGGGAGCACGUGAGGGGACAUGCAGGGACUGCCCGUGUGAACGGCUUCAACCGCAUGCCCCCCACCCCACAGUCGCCAAGAAGACUGGGAGGUCCGCAUCGGCGGUGGGUACAAGUCAUUCAGGCUGCGAGGCGAGUCAGGCCUUUCCAGACCUCGCCGGACUGGGCUGGGCUGCGCCGGAAAUUGACCGGAACAGGGACUAUGAGAAAAUAGUUGAGCAAUCGAGGAGUCAGCUGAAAAGCGGAGGCUCAAGAGCCAUUUCAAGCUGGGCUGCACCAGAAAUUGAUUGGAAUAGGGACUAUGAGAAAAUAGUCGGGCAAAGGAGGAGUAAGCUCAAAAGUGGAGUCUCAAAGCCAUUUCAACCUUCCCGCCCCAGCCAGUCGAAGCAGUGGCGCGGGGCCUCCCAAGCCCAGGAGCCGGAGAUGGAGGAGGUGGUGGAAGAGUUGGGGCUGCCUUUGCAGCUUUCCACCCUAGGCGGAGGGAACCUGCCAGGGGGCGUGCGGAGGUCCGCAAUCUGAGACCGCGAAAUGGCUUACAGCUGGACGUGAUUGCCAAGACCCUUCUGG